GUGGGUCUGAUCCCUAUAGGAUGAGGUUGUCCCUACAGGGUCGCAUAUAGAGAAGGGCUGCUCCCUGUAGGGUCGGGUCUAUAGGAGAUAAGGACUGGGGUCCCUACGGGGUCCGGUCUGUAUGGGGUGGGGGGUGCGGUCCCUAUAGAAUCAGGUCUAUAUGGGGUCAAAUUGGUUUGGUCCUUAUUGGGUCUAGCUAUAGGGGGUCUGGGUCCAUCUAUAGGGUCAGGUCUAUAUGGGGUGGUGGUGGGGGGGGGGUGCAGUCCCUAUAGAAUCAGGUCUAUAUGGGGUCAAAUUGGUUUGGUUGCUAUUGGGUCUAGCUAUAGGGGGUCUG
This is a long non-coding RNA of Harpia harpyja (harpy eagle), 334 nucleotides long. RefSeq lists it as uncharacterized. The transcript is spliced from 3 exons. NCBI's taxonomy places the organism in Eukaryota, Metazoa, Chordata, Aves, Accipitriformes, Accipitridae. The record is from RefSeq and is a predicted model, not a curated record.